Molecule: transfer RNA, 73 nt
Filed under: Camelus bactrianus (Bactrian camel)
Lineage: Eukaryota; Metazoa; Chordata; Mammalia; Artiodactyla; Camelidae
Also listed under: 2 other names
Rfam family: tRNA
About the family: Transfer RNA (tRNA) molecules are approximately 80 nucleotides in length. Their secondary structure includes four short double-helical elements and three loops (D, anti-codon, and T loops).
Source: Rfam by way of RNAcentral
GAGGGUAUAGCUCAAGAGGUAGAGCACAUGCUUAGCAUGCACAGGGUUCUGGGUUCAAUCCCUGGUACCUCCU